UAAGUGCAAUGUGAAUGGGGCAUAAUACAGUUUAGCAAAAUUAUUUCUGCACAACAUAUGGCAGUCUGAACCACCAGGUUGCUUUAGGUAGAAGAAACCAUCUGGAUGAAUUAUGAAAACUUUUGAAGAAUAAACAAAAUUGUCAGUUACCU
Long non-coding RNA from Thalassophryne amazonica, 152 nucleotides. RefSeq lists it as uncharacterized. The record is from RefSeq and is a predicted model, not a curated record. The transcript is spliced from 4 exons. Lineage: Eukaryota; Metazoa; Chordata; Actinopteri; Batrachoidiformes; Batrachoididae.